CUGUUCUGCCCCACAGGUGUUGUUCACAGGGCCGCCUACAACAGAAAUUCAUUCACCUGGUACUUUUCUCUGUACCUUGCCCCAGUGACAGAUGAGGAUUCUAACCUAAAAGAGAGUGCAGAUCCCCACUGAGCAGCUGGCCCACAGUGUCCCAACUGACUCGCCUCUGGACACUGCAAGUUCCAGGCACAUAAACCCAGUCGCUGUCUUGUGACAUUUGCAAACACAGUUGUCAAUAUUGUGGCAUCUGAUGGGGAAUCACUAAGUAACUGCAUGAAACUCUUUUAUCUACCAAGCACUUUAUUUAAUCUGCCCAUUCUAUCUCCAUUACCAAUGUCAUGGCUGUGCUCAUUUCCUAAUGAGUAAACAGAGAGCCAGAAAGAAAUUAAUUUUUCAAGUAUAGGUGGCAAGUAAGCACAGGAACGUUGGCAUUUCAAAAAUAAUAUUCACUGCAUUAUCUCAGAUAACAUCUCAUUUAAAAUGAGUAUUUCUUUGUACCAUAUAAAUGUUAAAAUGGUUUAUAGUACAAAUCAUAGUAAGAAUAUAGUCUUACAUAAUUUUUGUCUGUGUCCUCUCUCUUUCUUCUCUGAUACCAAUGAUCUUCAUUUUACCCCACUGGCCAAGACCCAGGCCGAUCAUGUCCAUAAAGGACAAGGCAAAUGGUUUCCCUGCAUUCAUGCCUUAUUGAAAUUUGUCUGACUGUUGGCCACUUUUAGGGAAGAAGACAAGUGUGUUGGAGGUGACCUUUUUGUUACCUGAUUUGAGAUACACUGUUGUUGGAUAGUAAUGACUUCCUUUCUUAUCUCCUUAGACAGUUAGUAGCUUUGUCUGUUGGUUCAGAGAAUUCGAAUUUGAAGAUGACUUUUUCUGGAGUACUGGGACAGAACACAGGGCCCUGUUCAAGUCAGGGAAGCCCUCGACCAUGAGCGAUAUGCCCAGUCCCAGGAUCUAUGCCGUACUUAUAUCUGUUCCUCGAGUAAAUUCCGAAAACAUGUAGGAUUUUUACCCUAAUUCCAUCUGUAUAAAAUGCAGAAUGUAACUGUUAAAAUAGCCCAACAACCAGAGCUAUCAGUUGACAAUCCAUAGUUCAUGGAUAGGUUUCAUGGGAAUUAAUAUAAACUUUGUGUAGUCUGACUCUGUUCUAAUUAUAUUCCUGAUUUUUAAAUUUGAGAGUCAUGUGAGAAUUCAAUUAUAGCCUUUUUUGCCUUUAAUUAACAGAGAUUCACUGUCACCUGCAGUCUUAUGUUGCUUGUUAAUUAUUUCCAGUACGUUCUAAAGACAUUUUCGUGAUGUGUCCCCAGUCAACUGUGGGAAGCACUUACACCUGCUUGUGUCUCUUACUUCCAGGGUGUGCAAGGAGCCCUGAGCCGGUAAGUGUACUUUCCGCUCCAGUGAGGGAGCGGGGGAGGCGGAGAGGGCUGGUGUGGCCAUGCUGACAUUUCCAGGUUCUCUGCUCUUCUCAGAAGUAAGGCUGUGAUGCCGCUGGAACCAGAGACCAUCCCCAUGGAGCUGAAGACCCCAUGUCGCAUCCCUGGCAUGCGGGAAAUGUUGAGGAGAUUCCAAGGUGGGUGGAGCCCUGGAGCCCGGGAACUGAUGCUGAGAGUGUGGGGCUUACUGCUGCCCUUACUGCCCUGGCCUGUGGCCACAGCAGAGCAGCCACAGCAGAGCCUCAGGUCUCUGAGACUCACUGUGUGAGUGUGCUCUCAUAUGCGAGUGAACUCUCAGGGUGUCGUGGCCUCUCACCUGGGGCCCAGCCUGGCAGACCUCCAGCUCCUUCCCGGGUACAAUGCGUCAGCCCUGCCCAGCAGAACAUGUGGGUGUCUCCCUCUAGGAGUCGAUCAGUUCUCCAGGGUUGCCCCGCUGGCUCCCACUCACUCUAUUCUGACCCUGUCCACCUGCAGGCAUCAUCGAAUCCCACAGGUUGAGGGCCUGGUCCUGCAAAGCUGUGCCCUGCUUCAGGAGCAAGGAACAAGCAGGCUGUGGCUUGUGCCUCUGACCAGCCAACUGCAAAGCAGCUUUCCCAGGACCCGCUCUAUGAGCGCGGUUUGUUUGCUAGAGCAGCCCCCAGAACUCAGACCCUACUCACACUUGGUCAGUUAUUGUACAGGGUGUUGCAGAGGAUGGGGACCAACAGCCGGGUGGAGGAAACCAAUAGGGUUGGUGUGGGGAGGGGCAACACGCCCUCUCUGGGUGCUCCUUGCAGGAUCUCCUUGUGUGCCGCCACUGGCAAGCUCUGUCUUUGGGUUUAUGGAGGCUUCAUUCAGCAGGCAUGACCAGUGACACCACUGGCCACUGCUGGCCCCUGGAGCUUCAGCCCCUACUCUCCUCCCAGAGGUAGGGGGAUGUUGGACUGAAGGUUCUAUCCCUUUAAUCCCAAGGGGUUUCUCUGGAAACCAGACCCAUCCUGAGGUCAUCUAGGCCUCCAAGCACCAGCCAUCUCACUAGCAUGCAAAAGAGUCCCUUGUCUCAGGACUUUUGGGAACUGGUGUGUCAGGACCUAGGACAUAGACCAAAAAUAUACUGCACUCUCUCACCAUGACUCAUGCACUGCCCUUGGCCUUCCUGAGGAUUUCAGUGUUGGGGUGAGUCUGGCUGUGAAGGGGUGGAACAGUGCACCUGCCUGCAGGAAGGGGGAGGGGACAUUUGUGCACAAUCCGAGCUGAUGCCAGUCAGGGACACCCAGAGGGUCUGCAUGAAAUGGCUUUCAUGUUGUUCUGUAAAAUGGUGACGAUUCAAUAUUUUUACUAUUUCCUUUUAAAAUCUACUUUGCAC
RNAcentral lists this long non-coding RNA (2772 nucleotides) under Marmota monax (woodchuck). The record is from RNAcentral. Lineage: Eukaryota; Metazoa; Chordata; Mammalia; Rodentia; Sciuridae.